CCGUGAAACGCCUCAGCGCCGAUGGUACUGCGUCUUAAGACGUGGGAGAGUAGGUCGCCGCCAGGU
This 66-nucleotide ribosomal RNA is filed under the name Azospirillum brasilense. Lineage: Bacteria; Pseudomonadati; Pseudomonadota; Alphaproteobacteria; Rhodospirillales; Azospirillaceae. The record is from RNAcentral.